UAGGUUUGUACCUGUGUAAUUACCUGUACAUCUACCUGUAGAUUUGUACCUGUGUAAUUAUCUGUACAUCUACCUGUAGGUUUGUACCUGUGUAAUUACCUGUACAUCUACCUGUAGGUUUGUCCUGUGUAAUUACCUGUACAUCUACCUGUAGGUUUGUACCUGUGUAAUUACCUGUACAUCUACCUGUAGAUUUGUACCUGUGUAAUUACCUGUACAUCUACCUGUAGGUUUGUACAUGUGUAAUUACCUGUACAUUGACCUGUAGAUUUGUAUCUGUGUAAUUAUCUGUACAUCUACCUGUAGGUUUGUACCUGUGUAAUUACCUGUACAUCUACCUGCAUCUAUAUAACUGUGUGUGUAACUACCUGUGAAUUUGUACCUGUACAUUAUCACCUUGGAGAGCUUGCUGUGUGAAAGUAUGUGAUGUGCUGUAUAUUUAUGUCACUGUUGUGGAUUAGAGUGAACAUUCUUCCUAACCAGUUGUAUUUAUAUACUUGACUGUACAAAGAGAUAUGUACUUUAUUCUAUUUACAAUUGCUCGGUUUUGAGGUGAACUAUUCAAGUUUGGUGUAUUUAUAUGAGCCUGUUCACAUGAGAGCCACUUUGUCUAAUGUCUGUUCAUGCUGACAAUAUUACUGUUGCCAGGAAAUGGCCACACUGUCUUUGAAUUUCAGAUCAACUGUUUGAUUAACACGUGUAUACUGAUGGCAUUAAGUAAGGGAACACCAAUACUGGAGUGGAGGUUACUAGCUGUAUCCAUGAUGAAACUGGUUCACCUGUUGAUAUGCAACACAAACUUAGCACUUUUAGACGACAGUCGAUGGCCAGUUACAAUCUGUAUCAUAUCCAGCUACAGGUGCACAUGCUAAACAAGCAGUUAAACAUUUAACAUUAAGAUACACGAUUGCCUCCUAAAUUUGUUUCAAGCAAAAAUAAUUACAAAAAACACUGCUGAUAAUCAAUUUUGUUGUAUGUUUACUCACACAUGGCUGACUACUCUCCACAUGUUCCCGUAUCUUCACCCAACAGCUUGACUACUUCUAAACACUUUCAGCUUAACAUUCAACCGUACAAACAAUGCCCCUGCUCUGUCAUGGUGGCAAGUUGAUAUAUGCACCAAAGUUUGCCAUCAGAUGGCGCCACCAUCACUAUUGUAUGCGUGCUGUCCUAGAGGGAGAUUCACUGCUCAACACACGCCAUUAUACAAACACACCAACUGGAACCGUCCUGGCUCCCCUAGUACUCCAUUGUUUCCACUCUACCUGCUGUGAUAUGACUGUUAUCAAGGGUUAUAACAUCAUAACUGUUAUAAAAGAUUACCAUCCAGAAAGUGGGUGAUAAAUGCUUAUUUUCAUAUCCUUGAUUUAAUUAAUAUAUAUAAUCAAUAUAUAUCACUUAUUGAAAUAUUAUUAAUCAGAAAAAGGAUGGGGAGCUUAAUAGCACAAAGUGUCAUUAGUUUAAUCAGAUAUGUUGAUAAGCUUCAUAUUGCUCAAGAAGAAGUUGCCAAUAGAUUUAUUGAGUAGCUAGGACACCAGGUGUCCUGAGUCCAACAAACAUAUAGAUCUGUAGCCAGCUGAGUGUAGACACUGGACAUUCUUGUCAUAUGAGACACAUUAGAAGCGUGCUGCUGAGUCCAGUGGUAAUGGGUGGACAACACACCUUGGUGUGCCCAAUUAGCAGUAGCUAGAAGUGAUCAUAAAAUCAAACCCUAAGGUCAUUGAGUACUUUGGGAGUAACGGUAUGAAGGCCCUCGUACAUCAGCUGUAGCCCACCUGGUGGUGGGCAGGUAAAUGUACAGGUAGGUAGUACAGUAUAUAGUCAGGUCAAUGAUGGGGCAGAUUUCAUGGCAGUAAAGUGUAUAGACAACAUCCAGUAAGGGACAGAUCAUUUUACAGGUGGUACAGUUUACAGUUAGAACGAUUAUGGGGCAGAUGAAUCUACAAGUAGUACAGUUUAUUGUUAGGCCAAUUAUGGGGCAGAUAAAUUUUCAGGCAGUAAGUUUUUUUGGUUACACCACUUAAGUGGCAGAUCAAUUAACAUGUAGAUAAAUGUUAAUAGUUGUUAUAUGAGGUGUGUUCAAGAGCAGACAAGGUUAUUGUAGGGUGGUAAGGUUAGGAAUUACAGAGGCAUCACAGGUGUCUGUUGAUUCAUCAUCAGAGCAGGUACUCUUUUUGUUGUCACAGGUAUGGAGGUACGCCAUGAUUCCGUUCCCCUGCUUUGCUGUAUUAUUUCAAUUUAAAUAUAUUUAAUAUGCCAUUUUGAAAUAAUAUUUCACAGUAUCAAUUAAAUUUUGGUUUUGCCCUUUUAGAAUGUGCAUUUUAGCUUGCUGCAUAUCAAAUCACAUAUCUCCACUUCGCAGCCUGGUAUAUUGUCUGAAUUUCCAGGGUAUCAGUAUGUCCAGUGGAUGAAGUUGGGAUGGAUUUUGAAUUCCCUGUUUUUCUAGAAAUAUUUUAUGAACAAGUUUCAAACAUAUUUGUAUAAAACUCUUUGCAUAUUGAUGUGAACUUUUCCAAAAAUGCAUCUAACUUCAUGCCUUUAAUGACACAAAGUGUUUUGCUGAGACCAGGGAUUACUCGGCGGAGUUACUGCCCCUUAGUUUCCUGGCCAUUGUUUUGUAUGUUCAUGGAAGACCAGUUCCUGUUUAUUCUCAUGUACUAGCUGAUGAUGAAACAUUUCAAAUAUAUACCUUCAGUUGGAAACGCUUUGCGUUAAUAAGUUAUUUCAAUUGACACCAUUUGCAGUAUAGUGUAAAGUUCAGAUCUCUGUUUGAUUUUGUACAUAUACAACAAAGGAACAACAUCUGCUUCGUGUGCUACCGGUAGUUGUAGUGACAAUCAGUUGAUCUUCCCUUGACAACCCCGGGUAGCACCGUUACAGGCAGGUCACUCCAUGGAGGAGGAAUGUCUGUGUGGAGGCUUCAUAUAUUUCCACAGUAUUGUUGUAUAGUAUGAUACUGUGCUAGUCACAGUAUUGUUAUACAGUAUGAUACUGUUCUAAUCACAGUAUUGUUAUAUAGUAUGAUACUGUGCUAGUCACAGUAUUAUUAUAUAGUAUGAUACUGUUCUAAUCACAGUAUUGUUAUAUAGUAUGAUACUGUUCUAAUCACAGUAUUGUUAUAUAGUAUGAUACUGUGCUAGUCACAGUAUUGUUAUAUAGUAUGAUACUGUUCUAAUCACAGUAUUGUUAUAUAGUAUGAUACUGUGCUAGUCACAGUAUUGUUAUAUAGUAUCAUACUGUACUUAUCACAGUAUUGUUAUACAGUAUGAUACUGUGCUGAAUACGGUAUAUGGUAUGUGCUAAUGACAGUCCUAUGUAACUAUGUCCUUGGCCAAAAAUAAGAAACAUUUUAUUGUGAUUCUUUGUGUGAAUGAAAUAUCUCCUUUUCCAGGAGAAAAUAUUAUCUAAAGAUAAUACUUACUGGAGUCCCACAGAAUAACAUACAUGUAUUAUGGUGUUUUUGUGUGCAUUCAAUAUUUAGUCUGACCAAGUCACAACAAGCCAGGUUAUUAUUACUAAAAGUCAUUGUGUAUAUGUAUUACUUUUUGUGUUAGAGACAACACUUUUGCCAAAAACCUGAUAAGGCAAGGUUAUUUGUGAUUACUUUCCUUAUAAUUAAGUGGAAUUAUGUUUUGAUUAACUGUGCUCUUUCAGAAUAUAUUAUGCACACAAAAUGCCUGCCAACAAAUAGUGUUAUCCAACAACUAGUGGAUAUAAAACACUGUUCAGUUUUCAAGUGCCAAUCAUGAAAUAAAACAAACUGUGCAGAGA
Haliotis rubra (blacklip abalone) is the source of this 3771-nucleotide long non-coding RNA. RefSeq lists it as uncharacterized. The record is from RefSeq and is a predicted model, not a curated record. Lineage: Eukaryota; Metazoa; Mollusca; Gastropoda; Lepetellida; Haliotidae. The transcript is spliced from 2 exons.